UACGUAGGGUGCAAGCGUUAAUCGGAAUUACUGGGCGUAAAGCGUGCGCAGGCGGUGAUGUAAGACAGGUGUGAAAUCCCCGGGCUUAACCUGGGAACUGCGUUUGAAACUACAAGGCUAGAGUGCGGUAGAGGGUAGUGGAAUUCCCGGUGUAGCGGUGAAAUGCGUAGAGAUCGGGAGGAACACCAGUGGCGAAGGCGGCUACCUGGACCAGCACUGGACACUGAGGCACGAAAGCGUGGGGAGCAGACAGG
RNAcentral lists this ribosomal RNA (254 nucleotides) under uncultured bacterium. RNAcentral describes it as "partial 16S ribosomal RNA". It matches the Rfam family "Bacterial small subunit ribosomal RNA", at positions 524 to 776 of the family's 1533-position model. The record is from RNAcentral.